GGGGAUAUGGCGAAAUUGGUAGACGCUACGGACUUAAUAAAUCCGUCGACUUUAAAAAUCGUGAGGGUUCAAGUCCCUCUAUCCCCA
This 87-nucleotide transfer RNA is filed under the name Moringa oleifera (horseradish tree). RNAcentral's name for it is "tRNA-Leu". It matches the Rfam family "tRNA". Rfam says of the family: Transfer RNA (tRNA) molecules are approximately 80 nucleotides in length. Their secondary structure includes four short double-helical elements and three loops (D, anti-codon, and T loops). Further hydrogen bonds mediate the characteristic L-shaped molecular structure. tRNAs have two regions of fundamental functional importance: the anti-codon, which is responsible for specific mRNA codon recognition, and the 3' end, to which the tRNAs corresponding amino acid is attached (by aminoacyl-tRNA synthetases). tRNAs cope with the degeneracy of the genetic code in two manners: having more than one tRNA (with a specific anti-codon) for a particular amino acid; and 'wobble' base-pairing, i.e. permitting non-standard base-pairing at the 3rd anti-codon position. RNAcentral also lists the same sequence under 12 other names. The record is from RNAcentral. Lineage: Eukaryota; Viridiplantae; Streptophyta; Magnoliopsida; Brassicales; Moringaceae.